GGGGCCAUGGCUCAGGGGUAGAACAUCUGCCCUGUAUGAAGAAGUUCCCAGGUUCAAUUCCCGUCAUCCCCA
This 72-nucleotide transfer RNA is filed under the name Sphaerodactylus townsendi. RNAcentral's name for it is "tRNA-Thr". Lineage: Eukaryota; Metazoa; Chordata; Lepidosauria; Squamata; Sphaerodactylidae. The record is from RNAcentral.